RNAcentral lists this ribosomal RNA (503 nucleotides) under uncultured fungus. RNAcentral describes it as "SSU rRNA". It matches the Rfam family "Eukaryotic small subunit ribosomal RNA", at positions 569 to 1078 of the family's 1831-position model. The record is from RNAcentral. Lineage: Eukaryota; Fungi.
AGCAGCCGCGGUAAUUCCAGCUCCAAUAGCGUAUAUUAAAGUUGUUGUGGUUAAAAAGCUCGUAGUUGAACCUUGGGCCUGGCUGGCCGGUCCGCCUCACCGCGUGUACUGGUCCGGCCGGGCCUUUCCCUCUGUGGAACCCCAUGCCCUUCACUGGGUGUGGCGGGGAAACAGGACUUUUACUUUGAAAAAAUUAGAGUGCUCCAGGCAGGCCUAUGCUCGAAUACAUUAGCAUGGAAUAAUAGAAUAGGACGUGUGGUUCUAUUUUGUUGGUUUCUAGGACCGCCGUAAUGAUUAAUAGGGACAGUCGGGGGCAUCAGUAUUCAAUUGUCAGAGGUGAAAUUCUUGGAUUUAUUGAAGACUAACUACUGCGAAAGCAUUUGCCAAGGAUGUUUUCAUUAAUCAGGAACGAAAGUUAGGGGAUCGAAGACGAUCAGAUACCGUCGUAGUCUUAACCAUAAACUAUGCCGACUAGGGAUCGGACGAUGUUAUUUUNNGANUCG